RNAcentral lists this unclassified non-coding RNA (385 nucleotides) under fungal sp. RNAcentral's name for it is "partial internal transcribed spacer region". The stretch from base 1 to 46 matches the Rfam family "Eukaryotic small subunit ribosomal RNA", at positions 1786 to 1831 of the family's 1831-position model. The record is from RNAcentral. Lineage: Eukaryota; Fungi.
AAGUCGUAACAAGGUUUCCGUAGGUGAACCUGCGGAAGGAUCAUUCACUGUUGUAGUUGUGGGGGGGUUGGAGUUCUCUCUUUCUCUCUCACUUCUCAUAUCCUUAACCAAAACCUAACUGAGCCGUGUCUAAUCAACCAAAUCCUGCGAAAACAUAUUUACCUGCGUGUUCAUUUUCUGGAAGUAGCGGGUAGGGGUUGUCUAAAUUCAUUUUUAGCUGACCUCUGUCUGGGCCCUGCUGUUGACCUGGUUUCAACUCGGCGGGGAAGCCUUACAUCAUCUGUGUCUACACUUUUAACCUUGUUGGCUUGAGAAAUUGGGCUAACUUAUUGAAACAAUUGUUGAAUAAACAUUACAACUCUUUGCAAUGGAUAUCUUGGUUCUC